RNAcentral lists this ribosomal RNA (624 nucleotides) under Triticum aestivum (bread wheat). RNAcentral's name for it is "partial small subunit ribosomal RNA". Lineage: Eukaryota; Viridiplantae; Streptophyta; Magnoliopsida; Poales; Poaceae. The record is from RNAcentral.
AUGAUAAGUAGGUUUUGGUGGGCUCAACAACAGAAUGAAGCUAAGGUACACUGGCUAGGAUGGGAGAAGUUAACCCGAGCUAAACAAGACAGAGGGCUAGGGUACAAGGACUUACAUCUCUUUAAUCUGUCCAUGCUCGCCAAGCAAGGAUGGCGCCUGCUAACAGAUCCUGUCACACUAUGCGCGAGGGUGCUAAAGGCUAGAUAUUUCUCGGAGGUCGAUGUGUUGCAUGCUGAACCAAAGUGGGGAAUAUCUUACACAUGGUGUAGCAUUCUUCGAGGGAUCACAAUACUGAAAGAAAGCCUCAUCUGGAGAAUUGGUAAUGGGGAGGAGACGAAUAUUUGGAUAGAUCCAUGGCUGCCAAGAAAUGGGUGUACUAGACCCAUCACACCAAAAGGCCAAACCAUUCUUCAGAAAGUCUCUGAACUGAUCAAUCCGUUUACGGGAAGCUGGAAUGAAGAACUGGUGCGGGACACUUUCUGGCCAAUUGAUGCAACUGUGGUGCUCGCAAUACCUCUGUAUGAAGGCUUUGAGGAUCAGUGGGCUUGGCACUAUGAAAGCAAAGGUCUGUUGUUUUCAGUGAAGUCAGCGUAUCAUAUGCAAUGUGAAAAUAGCGCAGAAUAA